Molecule: RNA transcript, 2249 nt
Organism: Rosa rugosa (rugosa rose)
Lineage: Eukaryota; Viridiplantae; Streptophyta; Magnoliopsida; Rosales; Rosaceae
Gene name: vacuolar fusion protein MON1 homolog
Exons: 15
Source: RefSeq, a predicted model, not a curated record
CCCCCCACCCCCACCUACUGGUCAGAGUCUCCCACUGCCGCGUUUCUAAUUUGCAGCACAGAGCCGACGACUGGUAGGCACAAGCUUCUCUCUAUCUCCCGAAACCCCGAUUGAAGCCCUAAUUUUCUCACUUUCGCCCAAUUCCAUCAAAUAUCUCCUGACCCAUGACCUCCGCGUCGAGCUCCGGCGACGAAACCUCCGACCCGAAGCCCAACCCGAUUACAAAGCCCCCGGAGGACCAAUUGGCCGCCCUCGCGUUAUCCGAGACCGAUAGCCAAGCAAACGGCGUCGCAUAUGAAUCGCCGCGCGGGAACAAUCACAAUGAGAUCGAGAACGAAGAGGACGUGGCGGCGCUGACCAAUUCGGCUCCGCCUGCUUCGGCUGAGGUGGUGGAAUCGAGCGGUGGUGGUAUUCUGUGGGCGAGGAGCAAUUCGGAGCUGGAGGCCGACGGGGCGGAGAGCCCUAGCAGCAGCGGCUAUGCCGGCGGCAGAGGGAGUAGUAGUGCCGGUAGUGAUGGUUCCGGGAUCGAUGAGAUUGCGGAAGGUAGUGAUGUUGAGGUUGUUGACGGUGUUUCGGAUUCACAAGCGCCGUGGGUGCCCGGAAAACGGCAUGUUGAUGAGGAUGAUGCUUCCAUAUCAUGGAGAAAAAGGAAGAAGCACUUUUUCAUACUAAGUAACUCUGGCAAACCAAUAUAUUCCAGACAUGGAGAUGAACACAAACUAGCAGGAUUUUCAGCAACAUUACAAGCCAUAAUUUCCUUUGUUGAGAAUGGUGGAGAUCGUGUCAAAUUGGUUAGGGCUGGGAAGCAUCAGGUGGUUUUUCUUGUCAAGGGACCAAUUUACCUGGUAUGCAUCAGCUGCACAGAAGAGCCUUAUGAGUCUUUAAGAAUGCAAUUGGAACUUAUAUAUGGUCAGAUGCUACUUAUUCUUACGAAGUCAGUAAAUAGAUGUUUUGAGAAGAAUCCGAAGUUUGAUAUGACACCUUUGCUGGGAGGAACAGAUAUUGUCUUCUCUUCCCUCAUCCAUUCUUUCAGUUGGAAUCCUGCCACAUUUCUUCAUGCAUAUACUUGUCUUCCCCUUGCUUAUGCGACAAGGCAAGCUGCAGGUGCCAUAUUGCAAGAUGUUGCUGAUUCAGGUGUUCUCUUUGCAAUAUUGAUGUGCAAACACAAGGUUAUCAGUCUUGUUGGUGCUCAGAAAGCGUCUCUUCAUCCUGAUGACAUGCUAUUGUUAUCCAACUUUGUUAUGGCAUCAGAAUCAUUUAGGACAUCUGAAUCUUUCUCACCAAUUUGCUUGCCAAGAUAUAAUGCCAUGGCAUUUUUGUAUGCUUAUGUCCAUUUUUUCGAUGCUGACACAUACUUGAUGUUGCUUACUACUAGUUCAGAAGCCUUCUAUCAUCUCAAAGAUUGCAGGAUUCGUAUUGAGAUGGUCCUUCUGAAGUCGAGUGUCCUCAGUGAGAUUCAGAGAUCCAUGCUAGAUGGUGGGAUGCGUGUUGAGGAGUUGCCUCUUGAUCCUUUACCUCGAUCUGGAUCUUUUUCUCCUCAUUUGAAUCAACACACACUUCCAACAGAUUCUCCCGACAGGUUCAGGGAACCAUAUGAUGGCGUAGGUGGCCCUGCUGGACUCUGGCAUUUUGUAUAUCGUAGUAUCUUUUUGGAUCAAUACGUAUCUUCUGAGUUCUCAGCACCAAUAAAUAGUCCUCGUCAGCAGAAAAGAUUAUAUAGAGCUUACCAGAAGCUUUACGCUUCCAUGCAUGAAAGAGGAAUUGGGCCCCACAAAACCCAGUUUAGAAGAGAUGAGAAUUAUGUUCUACUCUGCUGGGUCACCCAGGAUUUUGAGCUUUAUGCAGCAUUUGAUCCACUUGCAGACAAGGUGAAUUGCAAGAUGUGAGCCCCAGCCCCCCAGGGAGGGGGGAAUCCGGGCACAUUCUGGCUCUUCUAUCCAAAUUUCAUUUCCCUUUCGUCCACCUCACCAAACCAAGCAUAGCAUUAGGGAUGUGUUGGGGAGAAGUGUGGGAGAAAUGUGUUUCGCUUGUGAGGCUUAUCACUUGGGGAACCGUUGGGGGCAAUACAAGGCAUUGGCGAUAAAAACUUGCAACCGUGUUUGCCAGUGGGUAAAAGAUGUGGAAAACGAGAUUUUUUUGCUGGGUGCAAGCCCCUUUUCAUGGUGACACCCUGUUUAUAUUAUGUAACACAGCAUGUACCAUAGUUUUGCUUAUUUAAUAAGAUUCAAGCAGUCUUUUUUCUUUCUUCA